GGCUCAAUGGUCUAGUGGUAUGAUUCCUGCUUCGGGCUUUUCAACCCUUCCAUUAAACAUGGGAAUGCAGGAGGCCCCGGGUUCGAAUCCCGGUUGAGCCC
Molecule: non-coding RNA, 101 nt
Organism: Xylaria sp. FL1042
Lineage: Eukaryota; Fungi; Ascomycota; Sordariomycetes; Xylariales; Xylariaceae
Source: the annotation of a GenBank genome assembly